AGGUGUCAAGGGAAGGACCCGGUGGGAGGUAAUUGAAUCAUGGAGGCGGGUAUUUCCUGUGUUGUUCUCGUGAUAGCAAAUAAGUUUCAGAAGAUCUGAGGGUUUUAUAAAGGGGAGUUCCCCUGCACACACUACCUUGCCUGCCACUACGUAAGACGUGACUUUGCUUCUUUUUUGCCUUCAGCCAUGAUUGUGAAGCUCCCCAGCCACGUGAAACUCUCCAGAUGGGACCAUCUAGUUGCAGGAAAACAAGCUCAGGGCUCCCACUGGUUCUACAUUAUGAUGCGUGCUGUGAUGAGAAAUUCCGAAGCACACAUUAGAAGCAAUGACGGUUAUCAGCCUAGCAGAGGCCGAUGGGCUUCCUCGGAUCCUGCCAUGGCACCAAAGGAAUGCGAGAAAAUGAUUGGCUGGGGAGCUCUUCCACAUUGUCAGGAACGCUGGAAAAAGGCUGAAAGAGAAUGAUGAGAAAAAACCUGGAGAAUGGCAAAUGCUUCACUGAAGCAAUCUGCUACAUUCCUCCUUGCAGAGUGGGAUGCCUGGCCUGAGAUGAGAGAAGUAAUAGGACUGAGAGGAAGUGAAAGAAAUAGAACCCAAGGAGAGCAGGACAGAAAGAAAAGAUUUAUAGCAUGGAUUGUAGCCACUCUAAUAUUUGGGCUCCUCCUGAACUUAAUCCAACUUCCACGUUACUGAAAAUUUAUUAUUUCCCUUAUGGAUUUGUAGAAAACAGAUAGCAAAUGAAUAAGGAAAAUGGAAAGAGACCCAAAAAAGAGACAAAAAAUGGAGAGGACUGUGAGUCCAAUUCCUGUUUCUCCUGCUUUUGUCAGACCAAGUAAAACACUUAAAAUCGUCAGUGGAUAUUGGCUGAACCUUGCCAUUUUGAAAGUGGCUAUUCAAACCUUUUAGAGACGGAGCUGGUCAUUGCCUCAGUUAUUGGCCAAGGUAUGACAUGAACUAAUAGCACUUCAGGGACAAUGGCCUUUCAAUGACCAUCAGGCAUCAGUGCUUCUAAAUUGGCCAAUUUUGAGUGUCAGGAGGCCAGAAGACAUACCAUCACAUAAGAAAAACACUUUAAUCCAGUCAUUAUAAAGUAGGAGCAAAACAGAGUGGCUGUGGUGUUUAUAGCUAUAGCUGUAAUCUCAGUCUAGGUCCAUUCAGUCAAGAAGAUUGUUUCCAGUCUACUAGAAAACACUUCCAAUAAGCCUGAAUUACAACCCCAAUAUCAUUUUAGUUUUUUAGAUUAACAUGUGAAAUAAAGAGUUUUUCUUAGUCACAGUUACUUUUACUGCCAAAAACCCAAUGAAUAUCUUUCCCUCUGGAACCAAAUACACUGUUUAAUUUUAAUCUCUUAGCUGACUGACACAGGAACAAAACUGGUUUUGCAUUUUCCCUUUUCAUUUACUUUUCUGCAAUUGAUCACUGGCCUUAAAAAGUUGAGAAG
This is a long non-coding RNA of Homo sapiens (human), 1438 nucleotides long. The record is from Ensembl. Lineage: Eukaryota; Metazoa; Chordata; Mammalia; Primates; Hominidae.